AUAGUUGGUGAAUAUGUCUUUGCAAUUUGCAAUUUGUGAUUACUUAUGUAGUUAUGGAUUUGUGAGCAUCCUUAUGACCUUAUCAAUGCCAUUUGUUGUUUUAAAAUUUUAUCCUCUAUUUAUUUCAGAUGUUCCCACUUUGAAAUGCUGAUCAUUUAGUACAUCUAUUAUCUAUAUGUUGAAGAAUUUGUUAAGAACCAUCUAUAUUAUCAGUACUCAAUAUGUGCUGUUAAUGUGUAUUUUGGGCUGAAAUUAGCCCUAUAUUUAAUUCUGAGCUGGAUUAACUUGCUAACUAGCUACUGGGCCGGUAAACUGGCUUGGCCAAUGGGAAAAAUGACUAAGGAGCAGCUUGUGUUGUUGCCUUCCAAUGAUUCCGUCGAUCUGAUGUUUUGCCUCCUAUGGUUGCAUCAAUUUGAUGAGUAGGCAUCAUGUUUCGCAUUCAAUCAUCCCUCCGCCAUGCGGUUGUACCAUCUUGUCUUCCCCAAACUUGCCAUGCCUUCUUGUUGCUCCUUGCCUCUAGCCGGACCUCCUACGAUCACAUGUUGCGAAUAGCCGGUUACUCCAGCAUUUGUGCACACGGAGCCUGGCUCUGUGGAGACGGUCCUCCCCCACGUUCCCAAGCCAAGACCUCUCCUUGCACAGAUGAAGCCAGGCUAAAGGACUUAAACAGGUCGUCUGGUUGAAACAGUUUGAAGAGUUUGACUGUUUGAGGACAAGUCUGCCGCCGUCGGAGAAGCCAGCGCUUGGUAGCCGUGAAUAUAAAGUAAUAAUCGAAGCAGAUCAGGAGCUGUGUGAUGGUGCUGUGAUGGAAAUGAUGUGGGGCAUAAAGAAUCCCAUGCACAGUUUAGUGCCUCAAGAACUAAAGGUGCUGACCAAGGAGGAGUGCCUUCCAAUGAGUAAAGGAAUGGAAAUGGUCCUGCACCGUCAUAAAUUUGAUGUCAAGCCAGAGAUGUUCAGGAUGGAGUCCUAUGAAGCUAGCAACUGCCCUGAAGAAGAUAUCUUGAGAUCCUACCUCAGAUGUUUUCAUCGGAUGAGUUUUCAAAGAUGAAGUUAGAUUCAAAUAAAUAUAAGAAUAAGGUCAUUAAGUACUCUAUCUCUGUAAUCUACAAAGAAUUAGUGCAUGCCUACAAAUGAAGCAGCCAAGCCGCUGAAUCAAGCUGAGCAUUGAGGGUUCUGCCGUGGAAGAGGUUGUCUUGUGAAUUGUGAUUCUGAUGGUUCAAACAAGUUGUGGUUUAUGUAUGCUCGUCUGGAUGGAGAGUAACCUUGAAGAAAUGAAGAGUUAUGGGUUUUUAUUAACCGUAUUGUCUAGGCAGACAGUUGCUGGCCUUUAUUUUGACUACCGUAACAUUAUUGAUUAGUAAUGAAUAUCGUGGUAUGCAACUCCUGCACCCAGGGAUUGCAUUUUCUUUUUUUUUUCAUUUAUAUCUACGGUAUGUAGUUCUAAUCAGCUGUGCACAAGUCUUGUCAUGAGCAUCAUGCC
Molecule: long non-coding RNA, 1480 nt
Organism: Panicum virgatum (switchgrass)
Lineage: Eukaryota; Viridiplantae; Streptophyta; Magnoliopsida; Poales; Poaceae
Exons: 5
Source: RefSeq, a predicted model, not a curated record